This 450-nucleotide ribosomal RNA is filed under the name uncultured bacterium. RNAcentral describes it as "partial 16S ribosomal RNA". It matches the Rfam family "Bacterial small subunit ribosomal RNA", at positions 354 to 796 of the family's 1533-position model. The record is from RNAcentral.
GUGGGGAAUAUUCCGCAAUGGACGAAAGUCUGACGGAGCAACGCCGCGUGAGUGAUGAAGGUUUUCGGACUGUAAAGCUCUGUUGUUUAGGACGAAAGUGCCUGUUGCAAAUAGUUACAGGUAUUGACGGUACUGAACGAGGAAGCCACGGCUAUCUACGUGCCAGCAGCCGCGGUAAUACGUAGGUGGCAAGCGUUGUCCGGCAUUAUUGGGCGUAAAGAGCAUGUAGGCGGGAAUCUAAGUCUGUUGUGAAAAUGCGGGGCUCAACCCCGUAAUGCGAUAGAAACUGGGUUUCUUGAGUGCAGGAGAGGAAAGGGGAAUUCCCAGUGUAGCGGUGAAAUGCGUAGAUAUUGGGAGGAACACCAGUGGCGAAGGCGCCUUUCUGGACUGUGUCUGACGCUGAGAUGCGAAAGCCAGGGUAGCGAACGGGAUUAGAAACCCCAGUAGUCC